UACGUAGGUGGCAAGCGUUGUCCGGAUUUACUGGGCGUAAAGCGCGCGCAGGUGGUUCCCUAAGCCCGGCGUGAAAGCCCCCGGCUCAACCGGGGAGGGUCGUCGGGGACUGGUGAACUUGAGGGCGGCAGGGGCUGGUGGAAUCCCCGGUGUAGUGGUGAAAUGCGUAGAGAUCGGGGGGAACACCCGUGGCGAAGGCGGCCAGCUGGGCCGACCCUGACACUGAGGCGCGAAGGCGUGGGGAGCGAACGGG
RNAcentral lists this ribosomal RNA (253 nucleotides) under uncultured bacterium. RNAcentral describes it as "partial 16S ribosomal RNA". It matches the Rfam family "Bacterial small subunit ribosomal RNA", at positions 524 to 776 of the family's 1533-position model. The record is from RNAcentral.